This 647-nucleotide ribosomal RNA is filed under the name uncultured bacterium. RNAcentral describes it as "bacterial SSU rRNA". It matches the Rfam family "Bacterial small subunit ribosomal RNA", at positions 8 to 696 of the family's 1533-position model. The record is from RNAcentral.
AGAGUUUGAUCCUGGCUCAGGAUGAACGCUGGCGGUAUGCUUUACACAUGCAAGUCGUACGAGAGUUUUUAACUCAAGUGGCGGACGGGUGAGUAACACGUAAGAAUUUGCCUUUAGGAGGGGGACAACAACUGGAAACGGUUGCUAAUACCCCAUAUGCUUUCGAGUAAAACGGUUUUUCCGCCUAAAGAGAAGCUUGCGGCUGAUUAGCUUGUUGGUGAGGUAAUGGCUCACCAAGGCGACGAUCAGUAUCUGGUUUGAGAGGACGAUCAGACACACUGGAACUGAGACACGGUCCAGACUCCUACGGGAGGCAGCAGUGGGGAAUUUUCCGCAAUGGGCGAAAGCCUGACGGAGCAAUACCGCGUGAGGGAUGACGGCCUAUGGGUUGUAAACCCCUUUUUUCAGGGAGGAAUCAAUGACGUGUACCUGAGGAAUAAGCAUCGGCUAACUCCGUGCCAGCAGCCGCAGUAAGACGGAGGAUGCAAGUGUUAUCCGGAAUCACUGGGCGUAAAGCGUCUGUAGGUGGUCCAAUAAGUCAACUGUUAAAUCUUGAGGCUCAACCUCAAAAUCGCAGUCGAAACUAUUAGGCUAGAGUAUAGUAGGGGUAAAGGGAAUUUCCAGUGGAGCGGUGAAAUGCGUAGAGA